CUUAACACAUGCAAGUCGAGGGGCAGCACGGGUAGCAAUACCGGGUGGCGACCGGCGCACGGGUGAGUAACGCGUAUGCAACUUACCUAUCAGAGGGGGAUAACCCGGCGAAAGUCGGACUAAUACCGCAUGAAGCAGGGGCCCCGCAUGGGGAUAUUUGCUAAAGAUUCAUCGCUGAUAGAUAGGCAUGCGUUCCAUUAGGCAGUUGGCGGGGUAACGGCCCACCAAACCGACGAUGGAUAGGGGUUCUGAGAGGAAGGUCCCCCACAUUGGUACUGAGACACGGACCAAACUCCUACGGGAGGCAGCAGUGAGGAGUAUUGGUCAAUGGCCGAGAGGCUGAACCAGCCAAGUCGCGUGAGGGAUGAAGGUUCUAUGGAUCGUAAACCUCUUUUAUAAGGGAAUAAAGUGCGGGACGUGUCCCGUUUUGUAUGUACCUUAUGAAUAAGGAUCGGCUAACUCCGUGCCAGCAGCCGCGGUAAUACGGAGGAUCCGAGCGUUAUCCGGAUUUAUUGGGUUUAAAGGGUGCGUAGGCGGCCUUUUAAGUCAGCGGUGAAAGUCUGUGGCUCAACCAUAGAAUUGCCGUUGAAACUGGGGGGCUUGAGUAUGUUUGAGGCAGGCGGAAUGCGUGGUGUAGCGGUGAAAUGCAUAGAUAUCACGCAGAACCCCGAUCGCGAAGGCAGCCUGCCAAGCCAUGACUGACGCUGAUGCACGAAAGCGUGGGGAUCAAACAGGAUUAGAUACCCUGGUAGUCCACGCAGUAAACGAUGAUCACUAGCUGUUUGCGAUACACAGUAAGCGGCACAGCGAAAGCGUUAAGUGAUCCACCUGGGGAGUACGCCGGCAACGGUGAAACUCAAAGGAAUUGACGGGGGCCCGCACAAGCGGAGGAACAUGUGGUUUAAUUCGAUGAUACGCGAGGAACCUUACCCGGGUUUGAACGCAUUCGGACCGAGGUGGAAACACCUUUUCUAGCAAUAGCCGUUUGCGAGGUGCUGCAUGGUUGUCGUCAGCUCGUGCCGUGAGGUGUCGGCUUAAGUGCCAUAACGAGCGCAACCCUUGCCACUAGUUACUAACAGGUGAUGCUGAGGACUCUGGUGGGACUGCCAGCGUAAGCUGCGAGGAAGGCGGGGAUGACGUCAAAUCAGCACGGCCCUUACAUCCGGGGCGACACACGUGUUACAAUGGCGUGGAUAAAGGGAGGCCACCUGGCGACAGGGAGCGAAUCCCCAAACCACGUCUCAGUUCGGAUCGGAGUCUGCAACCCGACUCCGUGAAGCUGGAUUCGCUAGUAAUCGCGCAUCAGCCAUGGCGCGGUGAAUACGUUCCCGGGCCUUGUACACACCGCCCGUCAAGCCAUGGGAGCCGGGGGUACCUGAAGUCCGUAACCGCGAGGAUCGGCCUAGGGUAAAACUGGUGACUGGGGCUAAGUCAUAACA
RNAcentral lists this ribosomal RNA (1439 nucleotides) under uncultured organism. RNAcentral's name for it is "SSU rRNA". It matches the Rfam family "Bacterial small subunit ribosomal RNA". The record is from RNAcentral.